Molecule: ribosomal RNA, 1271 nt
Filed under: uncultured prokaryote
Description: partial 16S ribosomal RNA
Rfam family: Bacterial small subunit ribosomal RNA
Source: RNAcentral
AGAGUUUGAUCCUGGCUCAGAAUAAACGCUCGCGAUACACAUAACACAUGCAAGUCGAAGGGUUCCCCGGUGAAUCCUGGCGUACGGGUGCGUAACACGUGAGAAUCUGCCCCAUACAGGUGGUGAAAUACCACGGGUAUAGUACUAGAUAUAGAUCGGUAUGGGAUGAGCUUGCGGGGUAUUAGGUAGUUGGUGUGGUAAGGGCGCACCAAGCCAUAGAUGCCUAGCUGGUUUGAGAGAACGACGGGCCACACUGGGACUGAGACACGGCCCAGACGCUUACGAGCGGCAGCAGUGGGGAAUAUUGGACACUGGGCGCAAGCCUGAUCCAGUGAUAUCGCGGGGGGGAUGACGGCGAUUGACGUUGUAAACCCCAUAUAUAUGCUAUAGACUAUGACCGUGGGAUAUAUACAAGUCCCGGCUAAUCUCGUGCCAGCAGCCGCGGUAAUACGAGAGGGGCAAGCGUUAUUCGAAAUGAUUGGGCGUAAAGCGCACGUAGAUGGAUAUGGGUGGACACUCCUAUGCACAUAGCCUAUGUGUCCAUAGAGUGUAUCCACCCAUAUCUGGAGGACGGUAGAGGAACACGGAAUUCCCCAGGAAGCGGUAGAAUGUGUUGAUCUAGGGAGGAACACCAAUAGCGAAAGCAGUGCUCUAGCACGUACCUGACGUUGAGGUGCGAAAGCGUGGGGAGCAAAAGGGAUUAGAUACCCCUGUAGUCCACGCUGUCAACGAUGACCAUUCCCCAUGUCCCGAUUCUAUUGGGGCGUGGGUUAGCUAACGCGGUAAAUGGUCCGCCUGAGGAGUACGGUCGCAAGACUAAAACUCAAAGGAAUAGACGGGGGCUCACACAAGUGGUGGAACAUGUGGUUUAAUUCGAUACAAAAGCGCAUAACCUUACCAGUUCUUGACAUGAAACAGCGUUUCACAGGUGUUGCAUGGCUGUCGUCAGCUCGUGUGGUGACAUGUUGGAUUAAUUUCCCGAACGAGCGAAACCCAUCCCUUGUGCACACACUCUCAAGGGACCGCCAGUGAUAGACUGGAGGCAGGAAUGGAUGACGUCAAGUCCUCAUGACCCUUAUGAACUGGGCUACACACGUGUUACAAUGGUGUACGCAAUGAGUUGCCAUGACGAAAGUCGGCGCCAACCUCCAACGUACAUCCCAGUUCGGAUUGAUGUCUGCAACUCGACAUCAUAAAGAUGGAAUCACUAGUAAUCGCGGAUCAGCACGCCGCGGUGAAUAUGUACCUGAGCCUUGCACUCACCGCCCGUC